RNAcentral lists this ribosomal RNA (1139 nucleotides) under Drosophila sechellia. RNAcentral describes it as "SSU rRNA". It matches the Rfam family "Eukaryotic small subunit ribosomal RNA", at positions 1 to 1063 of the family's 1831-position model. Lineage: Eukaryota; Metazoa; Arthropoda; Insecta; Diptera; Drosophilidae. The record is from RNAcentral.
UCUGGUUGAUCCUGCCAGUAGUUAUAUGCUUGUCUCAAAGAUUAAGCCAUGCAUGUCUAAGUACACACGAAUUAAAAGUGAAACCGCAAAAGGCUCAUUAUAUCAGUUAUGGUUCCUUAGAUCGUUAACAGUUACUUGGAUAACUGUGGUAAUUCUAGAGCUAAUACAUGCAAUUAAAACAUGAACCUUAUGGGACAUGUGCUUUUAUUAGGCUAAAACCAAGCGAUCGCAAGAUCGUUAUAUUGGUUGAACUCUAGAUAACAUGCAGAUCGUAUGGUCUUGUACCGACGACAGAUCUUUCAAAUGUCUGCCCUAUCAACUUUUGAUGGUAGUAUCUAGGACUACCAUGGUUGCAACGGGUAACGGGGAAUCAGGGUUCGAUUCCGGAGAGGGAGCCUGAGAAACGGCUACCACAUCUAAGGAAGGCAGCAGGCGCGUAAAUUACCCACUCCCAGCUCGGGGAGGUAGUGACGAAAAAUAACAAUACAGGACUCAUAUCCGAGGCCCUGUAAUUGGAAUGAGUACACUUUAAAUCCUUUAACAAGGACCAAUUGGAGGGCAAGUCUGGUGCCAGCAGCCGCGGUAAUUCCAGCUCCAAUAGCGUAUAUUAAAGUUGUUGCGGUUAAAACGUUCGUAGUUGAACUUGUGCUUCAUACGGGUAGUACAACUUACAAUUGUGGUUAGUACUAUACCUUUAUGUAUGUAAGCGUAUUACCGGUGGAGUUCUUAUAUGUGAUUAAAUACUUGUAUUUUUUCAUAUGUUCCUCCUAUUUAAAAACCUGCACUAGUGCUCUUAAACGAGUGUUAUUGUGGGCCGGUACUAUUACUUUGAACAAAUUAGAGUGCUUAAAGCAGGCUUCAAAUGCCUGAAUAUUCUGUGCAUGGGAUAAUGAAAUAAGACCUCUGUUCUGCUUUCAUUGGUUUUCAGAUCAAGAGGUAAUGAUUAAUAGAAGCAGUUUGGGGGCAUUAGUAUUACGACGCGAGAGGUGAAAUUCUUGGACCGUCGUAAGACUAACUUAAGCGAAAGCAUUUGCCAAAGAUGUUUUCAUUAAUCAAGAACGAAAGUUAGAGGUUCGAAGGCGAUCAGAUACCGCCCUAGUUCUAACCAUAAAGGAUGCCAGCUAGCAAUUGGGUGUAGC